GUACACUUUCGCAGCACAUAUAUUAAAAUUAGAACAAUUCAUAGAAAAUGGUCAAGAUUGGGUCUGAAACCUGGUUCCUACACAAAGCAUGACAUGCAAAUUCAUGAAAUGUCCUAUAUUUUU
Small nuclear RNA from Tupaia belangeri (northern tree shrew), 123 nucleotides. The record is from Ensembl. Lineage: Eukaryota; Metazoa; Chordata; Mammalia; Scandentia; Tupaiidae.